UUACGGUCAUAUCACGUUGAAACAUCGAUCUCCGUAAGAUCAUCGAAGUUAAAUAACGUCGAGCCCGGUUAGUACUUAGGUGGGUAACCGCUUGGGAAUACCAGGUGCUAU
Non-coding RNA from Acanthosepion pharaonis, 111 nucleotides. Lineage: Eukaryota; Metazoa; Mollusca; Cephalopoda; Sepiida; Sepiidae. The record is from the annotation of a GenBank genome assembly.